This 74-nucleotide transfer RNA is filed under the name Camelus bactrianus (Bactrian camel). It matches the Rfam family "tRNA". From Rfam's summary of the family: Transfer RNA (tRNA) molecules are approximately 80 nucleotides in length. Lineage: Eukaryota; Metazoa; Chordata; Mammalia; Artiodactyla; Camelidae. The record is from Rfam by way of RNAcentral. RNAcentral also lists the same sequence under 2 other names.
GGAGGUAUAGCUCAGUGGUAGAGCACGUGCUGAGCAUGCACACAAGGUCCUGGGUUCAAUCCCCAGUACCUCCA